Molecule: ribosomal RNA, 818 nt
Filed under: bacterium
Lineage: Bacteria
Description: bacterial SSU rRNA
Rfam family: Bacterial small subunit ribosomal RNA
Source: RNAcentral
AGGACGAACGCUGGCGGCGUGCUUAACACAUGCAAGUCGAACGGAAAGGCCCUUCGGGGUACUCGAGUGGCGAACGGGUGAGUAACACGUGGGUGAUCUGCCCCUGACUCUGGGAUAAGCCUGGGAAACUGGGUCUAAUACCGGAUAUUCACUUCCUGCUUAUGGUGGGUGGUGGAAAGCUUUUGCGGUUGGGGAUGGGCCCGCGGCCUAUCAGCUUGUUGGUGGGGUAAUGGCCUACCAAGGCGACGACGGGUAGCCGACCUGAGAGGGUGAUCGGCCACACUGGGACUGAGACACGGCCCAGACUCCUACGGGAGGCAGCAGUGGGGAAUAUUGCACAAUGGGCGCAAGCCUGAUGCAGCGACGCCGCGUGAGGGAUGACGGCCUUCGGGUUGUAAACCUCUUUCGCUAGGGACGAAGCGCAAGUGACGGUACCUAGAUAAGAAGCACCGGCCAACUACGUGCCAGCAGCCGCGGUAAUACGUAGGGUGCGAGCGUUGUCCGGAAUUACUGGGCGUAAAGAGCUCGUAGGCGGUUUGUCGCGUCGUCUGUGAAAUUCUGCAGCUUAACUGCAGGCGUGCAGGCGAUACGGGCAGACUUGAGUACUACAGGGGAGACUGGAAUUCCUGGUGUAGCGGUGAAAUGCGCAGAUAUCAGGAGGAACACCGGUGGCGAAGGCGGGUCUCUGGGUAGUAACUGACGCUGAGGAGCGAAAGCGUGGGGAGCGAACAGGAUUAGAUACCCUGGUAGUCCACGCCGUAAACGGUGGGUACUAGGUGUGGGUCUCAUUUCACGGGAUCCGUGCCGUAGCUAACGCA